GACAGAGGGUGCAAACGUUGCUCGGAAUUACUGGGCGUAAAGCGCGUGUAGGCGGGCUUGCAAGUCAGAUGUGAAAGCCCUGGGCUCAACCCAGGAACUGCAUUUGAAACUGCAAGUCUUGAGUGUCGGAGAGGAAAGCGGAAUUCCUGGUGUAGAGGUGAAAUUCGUAGAUAUCAGGAGGAACACCGGUGGCGAAGGCGGCUUUCUGGACGAUAACUGACGCUGAGACGCGAAAGCGUGGGGAGCAAACAGG
Molecule: ribosomal RNA, 253 nt
Filed under: uncultured bacterium
Lineage: Bacteria
Description: partial 16S ribosomal RNA
Rfam family: Bacterial small subunit ribosomal RNA
Source: RNAcentral